Bos taurus (domestic cattle) is the source of this 73-nucleotide non-coding RNA. The record is from Rfam. Lineage: Eukaryota; Metazoa; Chordata; Mammalia; Artiodactyla; Bovidae.
UCCCUGGCAGUCCAGUGGUUAGGACUUAGUGCUUCCACUGCUGGAGCCCUGAGUUCGAUCCCUGGUCAGGGAA